This 368-nucleotide ribosomal RNA is filed under the name uncultured bacterium. Its description in RNAcentral is "bacterial SSU rRNA". It matches the Rfam family "Bacterial small subunit ribosomal RNA", at positions 527 to 896 of the family's 1533-position model. The record is from RNAcentral.
GGAGGGUGCGAGCGUUAUCCGGAAUUACUGGGUUUAAAGGGUGCGUAGGCGGCUAUGAAAGUCAGGAGUGAAAGUUUGCGGCUCAACCGUAAAAUUGCUUUUGAUACUGCAUAGCUAGAAUUAGGAUGAGGUCAGCGGAAUGUGGCAUGUAGCGGUGAAAUGCAUAGAUAUGCCAUAGAACACCAAUUGCGAAGGCAGCUGGCUAGACCUGGAUUGACGCUGAGGCACGAAAGCGUGGGGAGCGAACAGGAUUAGAUACCCUGGUAGUCCACGCCCUAAACGAUGCUCACUCGACGUAUGAUGCUUGACAUUGUGCGUCCAAGGGAAACCGUUAAGUGAGCCACCUGGGGAGUACGACCGCAAGGUUG